CACAUUUGCAGUCAUAAAUUUUCGUGUCCAACUUUGAUCGUCCGUCUUAUUUAAAAAUUUCUUAUAAGUAGUAUUUUUAUUGUUAUUAGAUGAUAAAACAUCAAUAGUACUUUAUGUGUGAGUGAUGUUUUGUAAUUUUUUCAAAAAAUUUUCAAAUAAGACAGACGAUUAAAGUUGAACACGGAAACUCAUGGCUACGCUUAAA
Oryza punctata is the source of this 205-nucleotide non-coding RNA. The record is from Rfam. Lineage: Eukaryota; Viridiplantae; Streptophyta; Magnoliopsida; Poales; Poaceae.